Non-coding RNA from Anas platyrhynchos (mallard), 1138 nucleotides. The record is from RefSeq and is a predicted model, not a curated record. Lineage: Eukaryota; Metazoa; Chordata; Aves; Anseriformes; Anatidae.
AAACAGGCUCUGUACUACUUGUCCUCACAGAAUGACUAACAGAAAUAUGACCCUUGUGCACUUUUUGUAGUUAAUUCAUUAGGUCAGCUCUAACCACUAAGCCCCUUGUCAGGUUAUUUCUAGUAGUGACAAGGAGCAAUUAAGCUUAAAAGACUGAAGCCAGGUAGAUGAGCCUAUUCCAGGAGGUCUCUUGGCUCCACCCUUGUGAAGUGAAACCUGCCAGGUGUGGGUCAUUUGACUUUUGAUAUAUAGGAAGCCUGAGGACUUGUGGGGAAUUGCCUUCCUGGUAGGGGAGGUUGAGGCUCAGGUUCUCUAGGGUGCUUUUCUGCUGUUGUGGUGGAGCAGAUUCAGUGUUCCUGGGUGGGCUGCUAUUUCUUCACGUUUUCUCCCAUCUCUGUGAAACAGUUUUAGUGACUCUAUGAGCUAGCUACGUUGUUGGUGUCCUCUCAGUAUGGUGAGACCCUGGUGGCGCGAAGUCACUGUGAAGCAGUGUGGAAGUGACUCAAGUUCAGUAGCUGGCAGUGAAAUUACUUCCGUGGCUUCUAAGCUCCCUUUCCAGCCCUUCCAAAUAUAAUGAGAAUGAAAGCUAAAAAGAAAGCCCCACCAACUCAGAAGCUCAAGUGUUUACAGGUAAGCCUGACUUUGAAGAAUGUUCUUAAUUAUUUGUUAGGAUUCGACAACAGGCAGUGUGGAAAAAGGUGCCCUAAUGUGCACUCAGAUUAUGCCUUGCAGUGAGUAGAAACCGAUGGGGAAGGUAAAGGUGGAGUUAUCAUAACUUUCACUAAGUGGAAGUUGCGAGACUGUGCUGUUCCUAAAAGAAAUGCCGCUUUCACAACAUGUAAGUCAAAAGCAGUAUGAAGAAAGCCUCUCCUCUUCCCUGCUGGCCUGCGUCUCGGCUGUGGAGAAAGAUUUGGAAUAGGUCCACCAGUGAGGAGAGACUAUCUUCCUCCCAGGCUGUACAAAACAGUGUCUGAGGUAUUGGGGAAAGCGUCCUUCUGUGAAAGGAAGAGAGCAGAGCGGGACCACGGCCCGUGCCACCCUGCGGUUCUACCAGCGUGACCAUGCAGAGACGGUGAGAGUAAAGGAAGAAAAAUUGAAGCUGCUGUUAAAGGCAUGGCUACCUGAGUUGGGAAUAAAA